RNAcentral lists this ribosomal RNA (2935 nucleotides) under Serratia marcescens. RNAcentral describes it as "23S ribosomal RNA". It matches the Rfam family "Bacterial large subunit ribosomal RNA". The record is from RNAcentral. Lineage: Bacteria; Pseudomonadati; Pseudomonadota; Gammaproteobacteria; Enterobacterales; Yersiniaceae.
GGGUUGUGAGGUUAAGUGACUAAGCGUACACGGUGGAUGCCUAGGCAGUCAGAGGCGAUGAAGGGCGUGCUAAUCUGCGAAAAGCGUCGGUAAGGUGAUAUGAACCGUUAUAACCGGCGAUACCCGAAUGGGGAAACCCAGUGUGUUUCGACACACUAUCAUGUCAUGAAUACAUAGUGGCAUGAGGCGAACCGGGGGAACUGAAACAUCUAAGUACCCCGAGGAAAAGAAAUCAACCGAGAUUCCCCCAGUAGCGGCGAGCGAACGGGGAGGAGCCCAGAACCUGAAUCGGCUUGUGUGUUAGUGGAAGCGUCUGGAAAGUCGCGCAGCAAAGGGUGAUAGCCCCGUACACUAAAAUGCACAGGUCGUGAGUUCGAUGAGUAGGGCGGGACACGUGACAUCCUGUCUGAAUAUGGGGGGACCAUCCUCCAAGGCUAAAUACUCCUGACUGACCGAUAGUGAACCAGUACCGUGAGGGAAAGGCGAAAAGAACCCCGGCGAGGGGAGUGAAAUAGAACCUGAAACCGUGUACGUACAAGCAGUGGGAGCACCUUCGUGGUGUGACUGCGUACCUUUUGUAUAAUGGGUCAGCGACUUAUAUUUUGUAGCAAGGUUAACCGUAUAGGGGAGCCGUAGGGAAACCGAGUCUUAACUGGGCGAAUAGUUGCAAGGUAUAGACCCGAAACCCGGUGAUCUAGCCAUGGGCAGGUUGAAGGUUGGGUAACACUAACUGGAGGACCGAACCGACUAAUGUUGAAAAAUUAGCGGAUGACUUGUGGCUGGGGGUGAAAGGCCAAUCAAACCGGGAGAUAGCUGGUUCUCCCCGAAAGCUAUUUAGGUAGCGCCUCGUGAACUCAUCUUCGGGGGUAGAGCACUGUUUCGGCUAGGGGGCCAUCCCGGCUUACCAAACCGAUGCAAACUCCGAAUACCGAAGAAUGUUAUCACGGGAGACACACGGCGGGUGCUAACGUCCGUCGUGAAGAGGGAAACAACCCAGACCGCCAGCUAAGGUCCCAAAGUCAUGGUUAAGUGGGAAACGAUGUGGGAAGGCAUAGACAGCCAGGAUGUUGGCUUAGAAGCAGCCAUCAUUUAAAGAAAGCGUAAUAGCUCACUGGUCGAGUCGGCCUGCGCGGAAGAUGUAACGGGGCUAAACCAUGCACCGAAGCUGCGGCAGCGACGCUUAGGCGUUGUUGGGUAGGGGAGCGUUCUGUAAGCCGUUGAAGGUGGCCUGUGAGGGUUGCUGGAGGUAUCAGAAGUGCGAAUGCUGACAUAAGUAACGAUAAAGCGGGUGAAAAGCCCGCUCGCCGGAAGACCAAGGGUUCCUGUCCAACGUUAAUCGGGGCAGGGUGAGUCGACCCCUAAGGCGAGGCUGAAAAGCGUAGUCGAUGGGAAACAGGUUAAUAUUCCUGUACUUGGUGUUACUGCGAAGGGGGGACGGAGAAGGCUAGGCUAGCCGGGCGACGGUUGUCCCGGUUUAAGCGUGUAGGGGGUGUGACCUGGUAAAUCCGGUUGCAUAUCAACCCUGAGGCGUGAUGACGAUGCACUACGGUGCAGAAGUAGUUGAUGCCCUGCUUCCAGGAAAAUCCUCUAAGCAUCAGGUAACAUUAAAUCGUACCCCAAACCGACACAGGUGGUCAGGUAGAGAAUACCAAGGCGCUUGAGAGAACUCGGGUGAAGGAACUAGGCAAAAUGGUGCCGUAACUUCGGGAGAAGGCACGCUGGCAUGUAGGUGAAGUCCCUUGCGGAUGGAGCUGAAGCCAGUCGAAGAUACCAGCUGGCUGCAACUGUUUAAUAAAAACACAGCACUGUGCAAACACGAAAGUGGACGUAUACGGUGUGACGCCUGCCCGGUGCUGGAAGGUUAAUUGAUGGGGUCAGCCGCAAGGCGAAGCUCUUGAUCGAAGCCCCAGUAAACGGCGGCCGUAACUAUAACGGUCCUAAGGUAGCGAAAUUCCUUGUCGGGUAAGUUCCGACCUGCACGAAUGGCGUAAUGAUGGCCAGGCUGUCUCCACCCGAGACUCAGUGAAAUUGAACUCGCUGUGAAGAUGCAGUGUACCCGCGGCAAGACGGAAAGACCCCGUGAACCUUUACUAUAGCUUGACACUGAACAUUGAGCCUUGAUGUGUAGGAUAGGUGGGAGGCUUUGAAGCGUGGACGCCAGUCUGCGUGGAGCCAUCCUUGAAAUACCACCCUUUAAUGUUUGAUGUUCUAACUCGGCCCCGUAAUCCGGGGUGAGGACAGUGUCUGGUGGGUAGUUUGACUGGGGCGGUCUCCUCCCAAAGAGUAACGGAGGAGCACGAAGGUUAGCUAAUCACGGUCGGACAUCGUGAGGUUAGUGCAAAGGCAUAAGCUAGCUUGACUGCGAGAGUGACGGCUCGAGCAGGUACGAAAGUAGGUCUUAGUGAUCCGGUGGUUCUGAAUGGAAGGGCCAUCGCUCAACGGAUAAAAGGUACUCCGGGGAUAACAGGCUGAUACCGCCCAAGAGUUCAUAUCGACGGCGGUGUUUGGCACCUCGAUGUCGGCUCAUCACAUCCUGGGGCUGAAGUAGGUCCCAAGGGUAUGGCUGUUCGCCAUUUAAAGUGGUACGCGAGCUGGGUUUAGAACGUCGUGAGACAGUUCGGUCCCUAUCUGCCGUGGGCGUUGGAAGAUUGAGAGGGGUUGCUCCUAGUACGAGAGGACCGGAGUGAACGCACCACUGGUGUUCGGGUUGUCAUGCCAAUGGCAUUGCCCGGUAGCUAAGUGCGGAAAAGAUAAGCGCUGAAAGCAUCUAAGCGCGAAACUUGCCUCAAGAUGAGUCUUCCCUGGGCCUUUAAGGCCCCUGAAGGAACGUUUAAGACUAAGACGUUGAUAGGCUGGGUGUGUAAGUGCAGCGAUGCAUUGAGCUAACCAGUACUAAUGAUCCGUGAGGCUUAACCUUACAACACCGAAGGUGUUU